GAUGAACGCUGGCGGCGUGCCUAAUACAUGCAAGUCGAGCGAACAGACGAGGAGCUUGCUCCUCUGACGUUAGCGGCGGACGGGUGAGUAACACGUGGAUAACCUACCUAUAAGACUGGGAUAACUUCGGGAAACCGGAGCUAAUACCGGAUAAUAUAUUGAACCGCAUGGUUCAAUAGUGAAAGACGGUUUUGCUGUCACUUAUAGAUGGAUCCGCGCCGCAUUAGCUAGUUGGUAAGGUAACGGCUUACCAAGGCGACGAUGCGUAGCCGACCUGAGAGGGUGAUCGGCCACACUGGAACUGAGACACGGCCGAGAGUCCGACGGGAGGCAGCAGUAGGGAAUGUUACGCAAUGGGGGAAAGCCUGACGGAGCAACGCCGCGUGAGUGAUGAAGGUCUUCGGAUCGUAAAACUCUGUUAUUAGGGAAGAACAAAUGUGUAAGUAAGUAUGCACGUCUUGACGGUACCUAAUCAGAAAGCCACGGCUAACUACGUG
RNAcentral lists this ribosomal RNA (497 nucleotides) under uncultured bacterium. RNAcentral describes it as "partial 16S ribosomal RNA". It matches the Rfam family "Bacterial small subunit ribosomal RNA", at positions 28 to 507 of the family's 1533-position model. The record is from RNAcentral.